GACGAACGCUGGCGGCGUGCCUAAUACAUGCAAGUUGAGCGCUGAAGGUUGGUACUUGUACCAACUGGAUGAGCAGCGAACGGGUGAGUAACGCGUGGGGAAUCUGCCUUUGAGCGGGGGACAACAUUUGGAAACGAAUGCUAAUACCGCAUAAAAACUUUAAACACAAGUUUUAAGUUUGAAAGAUGCAAUUGCAUCACUCAAAGAUGAUCCCGCGUUGUAUUAGCUAGUUGGUGAGGUAAAGGCUCACCAAGGCGAUGAUACAUAGCCGACCUGAGAGGGUGAUCGGCCACAUUGGGACUGAGACACGGCCCAAACUCCUACGGGAGGCAGCAGCAGGGAAUCUUCGGCAAUAGACGAAAGUCUGACCGAGCAACGCCGCGUGAGUGAAGAAGGUUUUCGGAUCGUAAAACUCUGUUGGUAGAGAAGAACGUUGGUGAGAGUGGAAAGCUCAUCAAGUGACGGUAACUACCCAGAAAGGGACGGCUAACUACGUG
Molecule: ribosomal RNA, 497 nt
Filed under: uncultured bacterium
Lineage: Bacteria
Description: partial 16S ribosomal RNA
Rfam family: Bacterial small subunit ribosomal RNA
Source: RNAcentral